Long non-coding RNA from Oxyura jamaicensis (ruddy duck), 94 nucleotides. RefSeq lists it as uncharacterized. Lineage: Eukaryota; Metazoa; Chordata; Aves; Anseriformes; Anatidae. The record is from RefSeq and is a predicted model, not a curated record. The transcript is spliced from 3 exons.
CUCCAAAGAAGGGCAACAAAGCUGGUGAAGGGUCUAGAGAACAAGUGUUAUGAGGAGCGGUUGAGGGAGCUGGAAUUGUUCAGCCUGGAGCAAA